CAGAAUCAGUGUGUCUCUGAAAACCUUUGAAGAUGAAGUUCCUAUUUGUUCUGUCGCUGAUAAUGGUGAUGAUAUUUAUCACUAUCGGAGUGUCGGAUGCUUUGCCGAAGCCGGAAGGAAACUCCCAUUUUAUAGCGAAACCAUUAGAAGACGUAGACUUUAGCAACGAUCCAAAAAUACGCAAAUUACACGAGGAAUGGCAAAAUGAAACGGAGUACCUGUAGCCUGCCACAUAAGAAAGAGGACAUCACAACAGUCAACACAAAUGUUUUAAAUAUCUACAUGGUUACUAACAAAUAAACGUAGGUAUAUUUUAUUAUA
Molecule: long non-coding RNA, 321 nt
Organism: Plutella xylostella (diamondback moth)
Lineage: Eukaryota; Metazoa; Arthropoda; Insecta; Lepidoptera; Plutellidae
Source: RefSeq, a predicted model, not a curated record